GAUGAACGCUGGCGGCGUGCCUAAUACAUGCAAGUCGAGCGAACAGACGAGGAGCUUGCUCCUCUGACGUUAGCGGCGGACGGGUGAGUAACACGUGGAUAACCUACCUAUAAGACUGGGAUAACUUCGGGAAACCGGAGCUAAUACCGGAUAAUAUAUUGAACCGCAUGGUUCAAUAGUGAAAGACGGUUUUGCUGUCACUUAUAGAUGGAUCCGCGCCGCAUUAGCUAGUUGGUAAGGUAACGGCUUACCAAGGCGACGAUGCGUAGCCGACCUGAGAGGGGGAUCGGCCACACUGGAACUGAGACGCGGUCCAGACUCCUACGGGAGGCAGCAGUAGGGAAUCUUCCGCAAUGGGCGAAAGCCUGACGGAGAACGCCGCGUGAGUGAUGAAGGUCUUCGGAUCGUAAAACUCUGUUAUUAGGGAAGAACAAAUGUGUAAGUAACUAUGCACGUCUUGACGGUACCUAAUCAGAAAGCCACGGCUAACUACGUG
RNAcentral lists this ribosomal RNA (496 nucleotides) under uncultured bacterium. RNAcentral's name for it is "partial 16S ribosomal RNA". It matches the Rfam family "Bacterial small subunit ribosomal RNA", at positions 28 to 507 of the family's 1533-position model. The record is from RNAcentral.